AUUACCGAGUGAGGGCCCUCUGGGUCCAACCUCCCACCCGUGUUUAUUUUACCUUGUUGCUUCGGCGGGCCCGCCUUAACUGGCCGCCGGGGGGCUCACGCCCCCGGGCCCGCGCCCGCCGAAGACACCCUCGAACUCUGUCUGAAGAUUGAAGUCUGAGUGAAAAUAUAAAUUAUUUAAAACUUUCAACAACGGAUCUCUUGGUUCCGGCAUCGAUGAAGAACGCAGCGAAAUGCGAUACGUAAUGUGAAUUGCAAAUUCAGUGAAUCAUCGAGUCUUUGAACGCACAUUGCGCCCCCUGGUAUUCCGGGGGGCAUGCCUGUCCGAGCGUCAUUGCUGCCCUCAAGCCCGGCUUGUGUGUUGGGCCCCGUCCUCCGAUCUCCGGGGGACGGGCCCGAAAGGCAGCGGCGGCACCGCGUCCGGUCCUCGAGCGUAUGGGGCUUUGUCACCCGCUCUGUAGGCCCGGCCGGCGCUUGCCGAUCAACCCAAAUUUUUAUCCAGGUUGACCUCGGAUCAGGUAGGGAUACCCGCUGAACUUAAGCAUAUCAAUAAGCGGAGGAAAAGAAACCAACAGGGAUUGCCCCAGUAACGGCGAGUGAAGCGGCAAGAGCUCAAAUUUGAAAGCUGGCUCCUUCGGGGUCCGCAUUGUAAUUUGCAGAGGAUGCUUCGGGAGCGGUCCCCAUCUAAGUGCCCUGGAACGGGACGUCAUAGAGGGUGAGAAUCCCGUAUGGGAUGGGGUGUCCGCGCCCGUGUGAAGCUCCUUCGACGA
RNAcentral lists this ribosomal RNA (769 nucleotides) under fungal endophyte. RNAcentral describes it as "eukaryotic LSU rRNA". The stretch from base 504 to 769 matches the Rfam family "Eukaryotic large subunit ribosomal RNA", at positions 1 to 263 of the family's 3401-position model. The record is from RNAcentral. Lineage: Eukaryota; Fungi.